AUGAGCUAAAUAGAUAUGGAUAUACAUAUACAGCUAAAUAGAUAUACAUAUGAAUACCACGGAUAUAUAUAAGCGUUUACGGCUUGCCUUUGACCAGCCCCCUGACACACGCUGCUAAAAGUGGUUCGCAAGAUGUCCCUCGAUUCUGCCGCCAAUUUCCACCACUAGCGAGCGAACGUGUCACAAGUCUACUAGCGCCACGUAGAGGAACUAAAAAACGGGGACAAAACGCGUACAAUUUUUUAAGUAUGCGAGCAGUGGCGAGUGUCAGGGACCUGCCUUUGACGGAUCGUUGUUGUUAUUGUAUAGGUUAGGUCAGAAGGUAGCCAAUAAUUUUCCACAACGAUAUUUUUAAUUGAAUAAUGAGUGAGAAUAAUAUACAACAUGCCUUAUUGUGUAGCUCCUAAGUGCAAAAACAGAUCUUUUACAAAACCCAAAAAUCAAUGUGAGAUUGAAGUAGAGAAUAAGACUACAUUUCAUCUUUAAGUAUAAGUAACGCUUCUGGAACUGUAAAUAAUGUCAAUGCUGUAAUACCGAGUAAUGUACUUAAUUCUAUAUUCAUUCAAGUUUUCCGAAGAAUAUUGAGAGGCGUAGGAUAUGGAUUGAUAAGAUGGGGUUGACGAACGUAAGUAUGCUAAAGUAUGCUUAUUUGGGCAUUUCUCCACUAAAUGGAAAAUCGCUGUCAUAAGCUAAAUUUAUGAAAUAAAUCUUAAAAUUUCUCAGUUUGUUGUAUCAAUACCGACAUAGAAUUAGGUAUUCUUGGCACGCCAUAGCUUAUUUAGGAAUUUAAUAAUGGAAUAUUCGAAUAAAUGAACCUCAGACGUCUCAAAACACAGUCCCCUGGUACGUCCCUUUUCCAGAAUUACAAAUCUUGUUACAAAUAUUUAUUUUUGUGCCGUUGAUAAUUGAAUAAAAAAUAUCCAAAUACAUUAACAAAAAUAGUUAGCAUCUUUAUACAUCACAAUUAUAUUUUUACAAUAGAAUUUUAAUUAAAAUAUCCAUGUGUGAAUGCUGUCCUCAAAUUAUUAAAACAGUCCCUUGUUAAAACUUUAAAACCGCGCUGAAGUCAUAUUUAGUUUUGGCGCGAAGUAUUUAGAUUGCGAAACGGAACGCAAUCGGUGUGAAGUUUGUUCGGUUGUGUCGCUAGCGGGCAGCCAUCAUUUUGUUUGGUGCUACUACUGCGUCUUCUGGUGAACCACGCGUCUCGGCCAUUAGUAAAAACAUUCCCCUGGUAUUAUCUCAAAAUGCCACCGAAAAAGAAGUCACCCAGAACAAGAGAAGAAAUACUUGAACAAAAACGUAUAGCUGAGCGUUUGAGAUAUCAACGACUUAAAUAUGACCCUCAAAAAAAAGAAGAAUUGAAAGAUAAAGAAAGGCAGAAGUAUCAACAGAAAAAAGAAAAAGGUAAAAGAAAAUUAGUUAAAGAUAUGAGUCGUCGUGAGCAUAAGGCUGUAAAAAAGGUUUGCAAGAGCAUUGUUCUAAGUAUCGUGUAAAAAAAAAAAAGUCAUGCAACUAACAGUAACUUUUAUGAAAAUUUGUGAUAAGAAGGGCCACAAGUUUAGAAUG
Molecule: long non-coding RNA, 1566 nt
Organism: Neodiprion virginianus
Lineage: Eukaryota; Metazoa; Arthropoda; Insecta; Hymenoptera; Diprionidae
Exons: 2
Source: RefSeq, a predicted model, not a curated record